AAUAACUAGUCCACGGUGUUAGACAUUUCGGAUCCUAUUAGGUUAGGAACUGUAAUAAAUCCACCGUAUAGAUGCUCUUCAGUACUUUGUUGACACCGGUGUAUCUGGCACCCCCCCAAAAUCACACUUAAAUCUCAACUUUGUUUUUGUCUUUAUACCAGCGUUGACGCAAUGUCCACUCUUUCUUUAAGUUGGCGAGUGGGUGGGUGUGUUUUUAAAAUCGCUCGGAAGGGGAACGCGAGAAAUCCGAGGGAAUUUUUUCGAGGUGGCCUCGGCUCGCUCCGGUCGCCUGAUGUUUCGAACGGAUUUUAAGGUUCUUCGUCGCGCCGGGAUUCUGCUGCGAUCUCACCGGAUCAUUCAGCCUGUGGACCGACGCGAGAGCUUCGCCUUGUAUAUCGCAUCCCGGUGAUGUUGCCGUUCUCCAAAAAGGACAAUAUUGCAGUUCGCAGGUCAGAGGUCAGCAAAACUUGUAUUUAGAAUAAUUUAAUAUAAAAAAAAUUGUAAAGCUGUACACUGUUCACAAUUGCACAUGAAGCCGUCCAGCUAUUGAUAGCGAUGACCGCCUGGGUAUUAACGUCAGUACUGCUAAAAUUAUAACUGCAUUUAAACACGGCAACCCAAAUAGAAGUAAUAAUACACCACAUCGGCUCUGCGGUGUAACCUUACGUCUGUGAUCAUGAUCAAAGCCAUUUCAUAUGCCACCACUGCAAUUAUGUUUAUUAAAUCCAAAAUUACAACAUCUCUGCUUUCACUUACAUGAAAUAUAUACAGUAUUACACUUCUAGUUCUCGAUCGCUGGAUCAGCUGAUGUUGUUACUGAUUCUUGAGCUUUGUGUUGUAUAGCUAAUUAUGGAUUUUUUUUUAUUCACUGUAUUAAUACAGUACAUAUAUUUGUAUUGUUUUACUAUUUUAAAUAAUUGUUCAAUUUAAUGUUUGCAAUAAAAAAGAAAUAAUUUGCUGAUGCAUAUUUUUGCUGUUUUUAUUUAUAUAAUAAUGCAAAUAAAGGAUAGUGGACAAAG
Carassius gibelio (silver crucian carp) is the source of this 1019-nucleotide long non-coding RNA. RefSeq lists it as uncharacterized. The transcript is spliced from 2 exons. Lineage: Eukaryota; Metazoa; Chordata; Actinopteri; Cypriniformes; Cyprinidae. The record is from RefSeq and is a predicted model, not a curated record.